GGGCGUGUAGCUCAGUUGGGAGAGCGCUAGAAUCGCACUCUAGAGGUCGGGGGUUCGACUCCCCUCACGUCCACCA
RNAcentral lists this transfer RNA (76 nucleotides) under Thermanaeromonas toyohensis ToBE. RNAcentral describes it as "tRNA_Ala". It matches the Rfam family "tRNA". From Rfam's summary of the family: Transfer RNA (tRNA) molecules are approximately 80 nucleotides in length. Their secondary structure includes four short double-helical elements and three loops (D, anti-codon, and T loops). Further hydrogen bonds mediate the characteristic L-shaped molecular structure. tRNAs have two regions of fundamental functional importance: the anti-codon, which is responsible for specific mRNA codon recognition, and the 3' end, to which the tRNAs corresponding amino acid is attached (by aminoacyl-tRNA synthetases). tRNAs cope with the degeneracy of the genetic code in two manners: having more than one tRNA (with a specific anti-codon) for a particular amino acid; and 'wobble' base-pairing, i.e. permitting non-standard base-pairing at the 3rd anti-codon position. The record is from RNAcentral. Lineage: Bacteria; Bacillati; Bacillota; Clostridia; Neomoorellales; Neomoorellaceae.